RNAcentral lists this long non-coding RNA (351 nucleotides) under Ananas comosus (pineapple). RNAcentral describes it as "long non-coding RNA (ACOM_LNC044710)". Lineage: Eukaryota; Viridiplantae; Streptophyta; Magnoliopsida; Poales; Bromeliaceae. The record is from RNAcentral.
CACAAGCUGGACUACCUUGGAUAGGUCCUUAAUUAGAAAUGGAAAUCAACACGGUGUUGAGUGUGUUAUAAUCACUACUAGAUAGAGAGUAGUAGUUGGAUUACUUGGAUUUGCUUCUAGCAUAGUUUUGGACACUUGAGUAUACAUACAUACAUGUAGUAUGCUAGGAGAUGUUGCUUAUUGCAUUCAUAUAUACAUUGUUGCCAUGAUAAAGUAUGAUCUUCAUAACUUCAUAAAGUAAACCGUGACAUUUACUUGUGGCCAUGUAGGGACAUUAUUUAGACAAGUAAAGGUGCAUCAUAUUAACAUCAUGUUUAAUUGCAAUAUAGUAUCUUAGCAUUUUAAUUAUAC